RNAcentral lists this ribosomal RNA (1164 nucleotides) under Triticum aestivum (bread wheat). RNAcentral describes it as "partial small subunit ribosomal RNA". Lineage: Eukaryota; Viridiplantae; Streptophyta; Magnoliopsida; Poales; Poaceae. The record is from RNAcentral.
AUGGAGCUGUGGAGCAAGCUGAGGAGCCUCGACGCUUACCCCAAGGUGAACGAGGACUUCUACAGCCGCACCCUCUCCGGCGGACUCAUCACCAUCGUCUCCUCCCUCGCUAUCCUCCUCCUCUUCUUCUCAGAGAUCCGGUUGUAUCUAUAUGCUGCUACAGAGAGUAAGCUCACAGUUGAUACCUCAAGAGGGGAAAGGUUACAUAUCAAUUUUGAUGUUACAUUCCCCGCUCUUCCCUGUUCUCUUGUUGCUAUUGAUACUAUGGAUGUCAGUGGAGAGCAACAUUAUGAUAUAAGACAUGACAUAAUGAAGAAAAGAAUUGAUCAUCUUGGUAAUGUAAUUGAAUCGAGAAAAGAUGGAGUUGGUUCCCCUAAGAUUGAAAGACCAUUGCAGAAUCAUGGUGGAAGGCUUGACCACAAUGAGGUUUACUGUGGGUCUUGUUAUGGUUCCGAAGAGUCAGAUGACCAGUGUUGUAACUCCUGUGAAGAAGUUCGUGAUUCCUAUCGGAAGAAAGGUUGGGCACUCACUAACGUAGAAUCAAUUGAUCAGUGCAAGAGAGAGGGCUUCGUUCAAAGGUUAAAAGACGAACAAGGCGAAGGUUGCAACAUUCAUGGGUUUGUAGAUGUCAAUAAAGUUGCUGGAAAUUUUCACUUUGCCCCAGGAAAAAGCUUGGACCAUGCAUUCAACUUCCUUCAAGAUAUGUUGAACUUCCAGCCAGAAAAUUACAAUAUAAGCCACAAGAUAAACAAACUGUCCUUUGGGAAAGAGUUUCCUGGUGUUAUCAAUCCUCUUGAUGGUGUAGAGUGGAAACAGGAGCAGACAACUGGAUUAACAGGGAUGUACCAGUAUUUUGUGAAGGUUGUUCCUACUAUCUAUACAGAUAUUAGGGGGCGAAAGAUUCACUCAAAUCAGUUUUCUGUGACGGAGCACUUCAGAGAAGCAAUUGGCCUCCCGAGGCCCCCGCCCGGUGUAUAUUUCUUCUACGAAUUUUCACCAAUUCAGGUUGAUUUUACUGAAGAGAACACAUCGCUUCUUCACUUCCUGACAAACAUAUGUGCCAUUGUUGGAGGCAUAUUCACCGUGGCAGGCAUCAUAGAUUCUUUUGUGUACCAUGGUCAUCGUGCGAUCAAGAAGAAGAUGGAGAUCGGAAAGCUGGGGUAA